UGGGGAAUUUUGCACAAUGGGGGAAACCCUGAUGCAGCGACGCCGCGUGAUUUAGAAGGCCUUCGGGUUGUAAAAAUCUUUUGUAUGGGAAGAAAAUGACAGUACCAUACGAAUAAGGACCGGCUAAUUACGUGCCAGCAGCCGCGGUAAUACGUAAGGUCCGAGCGUUGUCCGGAAUCAUUGGGCGUAAAGCGCGCGUAGGCGGUUUGUUAGGUCAGGAGUUAAAUCUGGGGGCUCAACCCCUAUCCGCUCCUGAUACCGGCAGGCUUGAGUCUGGUAGGGGAAGGCGGAAUUCCAAGUGUAGCGGUGAAAUGAGGAGAUAUUUGGAAGAAGACCGGUGGCGAAGGCGGCCUUCUGGGCCACGACUGACGCUGAGGCGCGAAAGCUAGGGGAGCGAACAGG
This 402-nucleotide ribosomal RNA is filed under the name Verrucomicrobiota bacterium. Its description in RNAcentral is "Verrucomicrobia bacterium partial 16S ribosomal RNA". It matches the Rfam family "Bacterial small subunit ribosomal RNA", at positions 355 to 776 of the family's 1533-position model. The record is from RNAcentral. Lineage: Bacteria; Pseudomonadati; Verrucomicrobiota.